GUGUUAUCAACCAUAACAAUGAUGAAUUCAUUGGUAAAAUAAAUC
This 45-nucleotide small RNA is filed under the name Anaerobutyricum hallii. RNAcentral's name for it is "CRISPR_Spacer". The record is from RNAcentral. Lineage: Bacteria; Bacillati; Bacillota; Clostridia; Lachnospirales; Lachnospiraceae.